GCAUAAAGACCCAGUCCUACUUUUGUGUCAGUUCUCAAAUAAAUAUUUCUCUCUAUUUAGCCUUUCUUAAGGGAUUCAUCACCAUUUAUUAUCAUAUUAUCCUUCAUAUUUGGUGUUUUUGAGUGUAUAUCAGGUAUUGUACUAUAUUUAAUUCACUGAUCAUGUAGAUGUUCAUCAAAACUCAGGUUAAAGUUAAAGGUUAUUAUAUCAGAAACAAAGAAAACUGAG
This is a long non-coding RNA of Sphaeramia orbicularis (orbiculate cardinalfish), 228 nucleotides long. RefSeq lists it as uncharacterized. Lineage: Eukaryota; Metazoa; Chordata; Actinopteri; Kurtiformes; Apogonidae. The record is from RefSeq and is a predicted model, not a curated record. The transcript is spliced from 2 exons.